RNAcentral lists this ribosomal RNA (477 nucleotides) under uncultured Thiobacillus sp. RNAcentral's name for it is "bacterial SSU rRNA". It matches the Rfam family "Bacterial small subunit ribosomal RNA", at positions 903 to 1382 of the family's 1533-position model. The record is from RNAcentral. Lineage: Bacteria; Pseudomonadati; Pseudomonadota; Betaproteobacteria; Nitrosomonadales; Thiobacillaceae.
CUACAAAGGAAUUGACGGGACCCGCACAAGCGGUGGAUGAUGUGGAUUAAUUCGAUGCAACGCGAAAACCUUACCUACCCUUGACAUGUCCGGAACUUGCCAGAGAUGGCUUGGUGCCCGAAAGGGAAUCGGAACACAGGUGCUGCAUGGCUGUCGUCAGCUCGUGUCGUGAGAUGUUGGGUUAAGUCCCGCAACGAGCGCAACCCUUAUCAUUAGUUGCUACGCAAGGGCACUCUAAUGAGACUGCCGGUGACAAACCGGAGGAAGGUGGGGAUGACGUCAAGUCCUCAUGGCCCUUAUGGGUAGGGCUUCACACGUCAUACAAUGGUCGGUACAGAGGGUUGCCAAGCCGCGAGGCGGAGCCAAUCCCACAAAGCCGAUCGUAGUCCGGAUUGUUCUCUACAACUCGAGAGCAUGAAGUCGGAAUCGCUAGUAAUCGCAGGUCAGCAUACUGCGGUGAAUACGUUCCCGGGUCUU